AUGGGGUUCUUCACCAAGAGCACCUCCAAGCAGACCGCCAAGCUCAAGUCCCUCAUCAAGAUCGCCGUCGCGCGCCUCGCCGUCGUCCGCCGCCCCCGCCUCGGCCGCCGCUCCAUUGCGCGCGGCGACGUCGCGCAGCUCCUCUCCAUUGGCCACCUCGACCGCGCUCUCGCCCGGGCGGGGCAGGUCAUGGAGGAGGACAGCAUGCUGGAGGCGCUCGACAUCAUCGAGCACUACUGCAAGAUCCUCGUCGACCAGUCCGCCCAGUUGGAGAAGCCCAAAGAGUGCGGCGAUGAGAUCAAGGCGGCGGCGGCGGGGCUGAUUUUCGCGUCGGCGCGCUGCGGCGAGCUGCCGGAGCUGCUGGACGCGCGCGCCAUCCUGGCAAGCAAGUUCGGCCGGGAAUUCGAGAGGGCGGCCAAGGAGGGCUCCCAGGCCGUCGUCAAUCCCACGUUAGUGCAGAGGUUAUCUGGCGAGAAGGCGAGCGCGGGGCAGCAGAGGAGGUUGGCCAGGGAGAUUGCCGCCGAGAACGACAUCUUGCUCGACUUCCCCGAAAGCCGAGGAGAGGUUCAUCAGAGCAAACAGAGUGAACAGGCCAAGAACGUGCCGGCGCCGGCUGGGAAAUCUGUCGAACAGCCUGAGGUCAGGACCGAAACUUCCGAGGUGCAGAGGAGGCAGAGGCUUGCCGAUGACAACGUGAGCCGGUCGAACCUUGCCCGGCAGAGAGCAGAGGAGAAGGCGUCGAGGGAAUCCAAGAAGUACGACGAUGUCAGGAUGGCGGCGGAGGCAGCGUUCGAGUCAGCGUCGUUCGCCGCCAUGGCCGCCCGGGCGGCAGUGGAGCUGUCUCGGACGGAGUCGCAUGGGAAGGGACCGAGAGGCGGCGGCCGCGGGCACGAUAAGGUCCAUCCUUUGCAGAGUUCUGGAGCAACCGAGCGGGAGACGCGGCCGCCGGGGAAGCCGCAGAAGCCUCCGUCUCCGUCUCCGUCGCCGUCGUGGAGCGACAAGAGCACGGUCUCCUCGGUAUGGUCGGACGCACCAGCACGGGACGCGCCAUCACCGCCGAAGGGGAAGAGCAUUGUGUUCGACCGGAGCGACGGAGAGGACGACGAUGUCGUGGAGGACCUCGUCUGGACUCCGCAGCUGCGUCGGCCUCCCUACAACAACAGAAGAACGGCCUCCGCAAUGGGCAUGGACGGCGUCGGCGGCGACGACAACACGCACGGCGCGCGGCGCGCGGAGUUCCAGGACAGCGUGCCCAACGGCUCGGAAGACGCGCGGCCGACGCACAGGAGGCACGCCUCGGAGCACGCCGGCGGGGGCGUGCGCCGCGAGGCCCCGGAGCAGCCCGGCCAGUACAGAGCCCCUCCGUACAGGAGGAGCCCCGCGGCCGAUGCAGGCAGCAACGGCGGCGCGUACGAGAGCUCGGCGUUCGUGGUCCGUGCGCCGUACGCGAGGAUCACGUCCGCGCUGGAGGGCGGCAACGAGCACAUCGCGCGGCACGAGGAGGUGCGCAGGAUGGGCACCGACGCGCGGCUGCUCCAGGAGCAGGUGUACGGCCCCGCCGCGCCCGGGCCGGGGCGCGCGCCCCUGACGCCGGACAGGAGGGCCAUCUCGGUGCGCACAAGGAGAUGA
RNAcentral lists this ribosomal RNA (1629 nucleotides) under Triticum aestivum (bread wheat). RNAcentral describes it as "partial small subunit ribosomal RNA". The record is from RNAcentral. Lineage: Eukaryota; Viridiplantae; Streptophyta; Magnoliopsida; Poales; Poaceae.